AUGGUGGUUCCGGGUGGGACUACUCUUGAGACAGUAGAUCAGCUCAUUGACCUGGAGAACUGGACGUGGCGUCGGGACCUGAUCAGGGAUGUGUUUAUAGCCCCCGAUGCCGACGCUAUACUGAAUAUCCCACUACGGGCGGGUGGUGGUGAUGAUUUUCUUGCUUGGGCCCAUGAAAUAAGUGGCAUCUAUUCUGUAAAAUCGGCGUACCGUGCUCUUGUGACUCAGAAGGAGCUUGCAGCUCUAGAGGAAGGGAUGGUUACCGGAUCCUCACAGACAGAAGAACAGAUGUGGAAGUCGCUUAGGAAGCUCAAGGUGUUGCUGAAGGUUCGUGUUUUCUGGUGA
This 345-nucleotide ribosomal RNA is filed under the name Triticum aestivum (bread wheat). RNAcentral's name for it is "partial small subunit ribosomal RNA". Lineage: Eukaryota; Viridiplantae; Streptophyta; Magnoliopsida; Poales; Poaceae. The record is from RNAcentral.